CGGGGCGCCAGGUGCAGCCUGCGGGACGUCCAGUGCCAGCGCAGGAGCCGGGCGAGGCCGUGGCCUCCAGGGUUCCUGGGCGGAGGACAAGGCGCGCAGCCGCGUUGGCGCGAGUUUUAAAUCGGUGCCUUCUCAGCUUUGCAAACUCUUAUCAAUUGCUGCAUGCCAGAGGAAGUUUUUAAAAAAUGGCCCCCAGCUCUAUUGCGGUGUAAUUGAUGGAUAGAAAUUGUAUUUAUUUAAGGUGAACAGCUGGAUGAUGUGAUGGAGGCACGCAGGGUGGAGGGGUUACCACAGUCUAGGUACUCUACACAUCCAGAGCCUCCCACAGUUGACAAAUGGAUUUUCCUAAUCAGUUUCGUCGUGUUUUGUACUUAAGUUGAGGAUUCCACACCGUGUGGUACUUUCAGAAGAGAUGUAGUGGUGAAUAAAUCGCAACGGUUGUGAUGUUUUCCUAAUUAGGUAUUGAGAAUUACCAUUGGUAUUUGGAAUUACAUUGCGGAGCAUUUAGGAACCGUUCUCGCUAUGUUGCCCAGGCUGGUCUUGAACUCCUCAGCUGAAAUGAGCCUCCCACCUCGGCCUCCCAAAGUGCUGGGAUUACAGGCGUCCCCUCUGCCCCAGUACUGUUUCCUCUCCCCAGCCCAGCCCCCACAGCUGCCUGCCCUGGCCUCACUCCCUGGCCUCCCCCAUCCCAGCCUCUGGGUCCCUGAGUCAGUCCCUGGGGCUGUCUGCCUUCUAGGGGAGCCUCUGGUGUGGACCAGAAAGUAACCUAAUCCCUUCCAGGCCCACCCUGGAAACAAAGGGAUUUGUCCACUAGCCUGGUGGUGAGAACCAUGUGGCCCUCUGUCUCUGGCAGAGAGGACUCCAGGAUCAAGGGCAGGUAAAAGGAGGAGCCUCCUGGGGAGCUUCAGAAGGAGGGUCCCAAGUCCCUCCUGCCCCACUUCUGUGCCUGGGUCACUCACACCCCUGCCUGACUCUAGCCCCCCUUCUCCAGGGGUCUCCACAACAUGUGAAUCAUGCCCAGCGUCUUCCAUUACACCCUUGAUAAAGUCCUCUCCUCACCAGGACCUCUGUCAUUUUACCUCAUGGUUUUGAAAUAAUUUUUGGUCUUCUUAGCAGUUUAAAAAUAUUGUUUUGUUUUUUUUCCCUGAGUUUGGAGCAUUCCUGUUACUAAUUACAUUUUUUUUUGACAGGUGUACACUACUACACCCAGCUAAUUUGUUUUGUUUUGUUUUGUUUUGGUAGAGAUAGGAUCUUGCUAUGGUACCCAGGCUGGUCUUCAACUCCUGGGCUCAAGCAGUCCUCCUGCAUUGGCCUCCCAAAGUGCUGGAAUUACAGGCAUGAGGCAGCACGCCCAGCCCUAAUUACUUCUAUUACGCCAAAUUCCUUGUGUGGAAUUCCUGUGCUUUGCACACAAAUUGCCAGGUUGGCCCCGAAGGGGAAAAAGGUGGAUCCCAUUUUCCCAUCUUCUAUGCCUACGUGGCUGACAAAUCUCCCGAAUCCUACAGGAGCUGUCAUUGAUCUUUGUCCUCUAUUCGCUGAAAUAAAGUUCACCAUGGA
This 1557-nucleotide long non-coding RNA is filed under the name Pan troglodytes (chimpanzee). RNAcentral's name for it is "lincRNA". The record is from RNAcentral. Lineage: Eukaryota; Metazoa; Chordata; Mammalia; Primates; Hominidae.